GGCGUGACGACGAGGCACUACGGUGCUGAAGCAACAAAUGCCCUGCUUCCAGGAAAAGCCUCUAAGCAUCAGGUAACAUCAAAUCGUACCCCAAACCGACACAGGUGGUCAGGUAGAGAAUACCAAGGCGCUUGAGAGAACUCGGGUGAAGGAACUAGGCAAAAUGGUGCCGUAACUUCGGGAGAAGGCACGCUGACACGUAGGUGAAGUGAUUUACUCAUGGAGCUGAAGUCAGUCGAAGAUACCAGCUGGCUGCAACUGUUUAUUAAAAACACAGCACUGUGCAAACACGAAAGUGGACGUAUACGGUGUGACGCCUGCCCGGUGCCGGAAGGUUAAUUGAUGGGGUCAGCGCAAGCGAAGCUCCUGAUCGAAGCCCCGGUAAACGGCGGCCGUAACUAUAACGGUCCUAAGGUAGCGAAAUUCCUUGUCGGGUAAGUUCCGACCUGCACGAAUGGCGUAAUGAUGGCCAGGCUGUCUCCACCCGAGACUCAGUGAAAUUGAACUCGCUGUGAAGAUGCAGUGUACCCGCGGCAAGACGGAAAGACCCCGUGAACCUUUACUAUAGCUUGACACUGAACAUUGAGCCUUGAUGUGUAGGAUAGGUGGGAGGCUUUGAAGUGUGGACGCCAGUCUGCAUGGAGCCGACCUUGAAAUACCACCCUUUAAUGUUUGAUGUUCUAACGUGGACCCGUUACCCGGGUUGCGGACAGUGUCUGGUGGGUAGUUUGACUGGGGCGGUCUCCUCCUAAAGAGUAACGGAGGAGCACGAAGGUUGGCUAAUCCUGGUCGGACAUCAGGAGGUUAGUGCAAUGGCAUAAGCCAGCUUGACUGCGAGCGUGACGGCGCGAGCAGGUGCGAAAGCAGGUCAUAGUGAUCCGGUGGUUCUGAAUGGAAGGGCCAUCGCUCAACGGAUAAAAGGUACUCCGGGGAUAACAGGCUGAUACCGCCCAAGAGUUCAUAUCGACGGCGGUGUUUGGCACCUCGAUGUCGGCUCAUCACAUCCUGGGGCUGAAGUAGGUCCCAAGGGUAUGGCUGUUCGCCAUUUAAAGUGGUACGCGAGCUGGGUUUAGAACGUCGUGAGACAGUUCGGUCCCUAUCUGCCGUGGGCGCUGGAGAACUGAGGGGGGCUGCUCCUAGUACGAGAGGACCGGAGUGGACGCAUCACUGGUGUUCGGGUUGUCAUGCCAAUGGCACUGCCCGGUAGCUAAAUGCGGAAGAGAUAAGUGCUGAAAGCAUCUAAGCACGAAACUUGCCCCGAGAUGAGUUCUCCCUGAGACUUAGAGUCUCCUGAAGGAACGUUGAAGACGACGACGUUGAUAGGCCGGGUGUGUAAGCGCAGCGAUGCGUUGAGC
RNAcentral lists this ribosomal RNA (1355 nucleotides) under Salmonella enterica subsp. enterica serovar Enteritidis. RNAcentral describes it as "partial 23S ribosomal RNA". It matches the Rfam family "Bacterial large subunit ribosomal RNA", at positions 1560 to 2891 of the family's 2925-position model. Lineage: Bacteria; Pseudomonadati; Pseudomonadota; Gammaproteobacteria; Enterobacterales; Enterobacteriaceae. The record is from RNAcentral.